Molecule: ribosomal RNA, 460 nt
Filed under: uncultured bacterium
Lineage: Bacteria
Description: SSU rRNA
Rfam family: Bacterial small subunit ribosomal RNA
Source: RNAcentral
AGAACGAACGCUGGCGGCAUGCCUAACACAUGCAAGUCGAACGAGACCGCUGACUUCGGUUGGCGCGUCUAGUGGCGCACGGGUGCGUAACGCGUGGGAAUCUGCCCUUGGGUACGGAAUAACAGUUAGAAAUGACUGCUAAUACCGUAUAAUGACUUCGGUCCAAAGAUUUAUCGCCCAGGGAUGAGCCCGCGUAGGAUUAGCUUGUUGGUGAGGUAAAAGCUCACCAAGGCGACGAUCCUUAGCUGGUCCGAGAGGAUGAUCAGCCACACUGGGACUGAGACACGGCCCAGACUCCUACGGGAGGCAGCAGUGGGGAAUAUUGGACAAUGGGCGAAAGCCUGAUCCAGCAAUGCCGCGUGAGUGAUGAAGGCCUUAGGGUUGUAAAGCUCUUUUGCCCGGGAUGAUAAUGACAGUACCGGGAGAAUAAGCUCCGGCUAACUCCGUGCCGAGCAGCCGC